Molecule: ribosomal RNA, 240 nt
Filed under: uncultured bacterium
Lineage: Bacteria
Description: partial 16S ribosomal RNA
Rfam family: Bacterial small subunit ribosomal RNA
Source: RNAcentral
GAGUAACGCGUAGGUAAUCUACCCUUAUAUUUGGGAUAACAUUGGGAAACUGGUGCUAAUACCGGAUACCCUUCUUUUCUGCCGGGUUAAGGAGGAAAGGUGGCCUCUUCAUGAAAGCUACCGUAUAGGGAUGAGCCUGCGUACCAUUAGCUAGUAGGUGGGGUAAUGGCCCACCUAGGCUACGAUGGUUAGCGGGUCUGAGAGGAUGAUCCGCCACACUGGAACUGGAACACGGACCAG